GACAGAGGGUGCAAGCGUUGUUCGGAAUUACUGGGCAUAAAGCGCACGUAGGUGGUUCACUAAGUCGAGUGUGAAAUCCCCCGGCUCAACCGGGGAAUUGCGCUCGAUACUGGCGGGCUAGAGGUCGGUAGGGGUGAGCGGAACUCCAGGUGGAGCGGUGAAAUGCGUAGAUAUCUGGAGGAACACCGGUGGCGAAAGCGGCUCACUGGAUCGAAACUGACACUGAGGUGCGAAAGCUAGGGUAGCAAACGGG
RNAcentral lists this ribosomal RNA (253 nucleotides) under uncultured bacterium. RNAcentral describes it as "partial 16S ribosomal RNA". It matches the Rfam family "Bacterial small subunit ribosomal RNA", at positions 524 to 776 of the family's 1533-position model. The record is from RNAcentral.